AUCUGUCGGUGGAUAGAGUCUCCCGAGCCCACUGUUUCCUUGCACGAUAAUGGAAAUUCAGCCAUCAGACAAGUUAGGACGGUGACUUCUGGUCUACCCAGGAGAUUAAGGUGGUUGGUGGCAUUUCAUUAAUUCUAUGGAGGACGCUUCACAUUUGUGCUCCUGAUGGAAAUUCGGGAUGCUCCUUUUACUUUACCGAGGACCCCGCCUGACACGUAGGACAUGGCAUUGGCGUGAACCAAACUCUCAGAGACCUACGCCUGCACCAUCCAUGCUCAAGGUCUUGGCUUCCAAGAUUGGGCCACCAUCUCCAGAGGCAGCAGAAGGAGCUUCCCUGGAGGGUGGUCUCUGAUGGCAGCUCCCGAGCCUGGACGCCCAAAAUCACCGUGUGGGCAGAGCUGGGUCCUCCCGGAGACUACGAGGGCACCUCUGUGGCCGGGCUUCUGUCCCAGGAAGAUUAAAACAACAAAACAGCAAGAAUACACAUGAAAGUACUUUGAAGGGAAACUGAAAAAUCCGUUGGUCCGAGGGGAACGUGGUGGAAGAUUAAGUGGACGAGGAUGCUCCGUGGGCUGCAGCAAACACAGCGCUCCGUGUUGGACAGAAAGCACCCAGACCAGACUGGGUACCCACCGUGCUAGACUCAGAGUCACCGUUUUCACAUUGUUUGCUCGGGGCAGGGACAGUGCCCGACGAGCCCGUUACUCCCUUACAAACCCAGGGCCAUCCAUUUCCCUGGUGCAUUUCCCUGUUCAGACCACAGCGGGAUAGAUUUCUGGGGACUCUCAGAUGGUAAUGUUUAAAGCGAAACAAAGAAGUCUUCUGUGCACCUGCUCCGGAAGACAAGUCUCGGGAGCAUUGCCCACUGGGAAAACCCAUCACGGGCAGCCCACAUUUUGUGUUGACCGGCUUGUGCACAGCCAAGCGGUGACCUGGCCCUCCUUGUGACCGACUGGAACCAACCAAGACGUGGAGGGACCGGGAUGAGGGGUUCAGGUGGCUCCUAACCUGGCGGGAGCUACUAGGCUGGAUCAUAGGGGGGACUUUUUAAAUCUCUGGUUUCACCCUUGUAGGUAUUGGCCCGCAUGGUGCCCGGCAAAGUCAGCUCCUGGGUGUGCUAGGAUCUGCCCACGGCAACGUCAUUGGUGAAGAUCUUUGCUUUGGGCACAACAGGGAUGAGCCGUCCUGGGGUGGGCGCCUUACCAGAAAUCUGUCCCCGCUUGGGGGGGACGACCAGCCUCUUUGUGUUGCUGAGAACAUGAUAGACCCUUUGGACUUUGGCUCUUCCAAACUAUGUCCCCUCUCUCCCCUGCAAACAGCCCCCGCCCUCCACCGCUAAAACCGCUACCCUCUCCAAAUGCAAGAAGAGAACUUGCCAUCCUAUAAGGGCUUUCUUUCUUUCUUUUUUUUUAAAUUAAGAUGAGUGCCCUUGAAUUGGAAAUGUCUCUUCUUGCUGUAGAUUUUGAAGACACCAUUUUCUUCCUAAUUUCUCCACCUAUGGCCGCUCCUCGCGGUGGUAAUAGGACAUCACGCUGAAAUUUGGGACUAAUGUCUGAAGCUUUCUUACUGUUUUUGUUUGUUUGUUUGUUUUUUUAAUGACUGGCAUUUAAGACGACAUAUCGAAAACCAGCUCCUCACUGUUGGAUUCAAUUCUGGAUUAGAAGCACUGUUAACCGUUUCCGCGCGGACGACCUUAACAGAGCAGUUAGGUCCCAAGCAUGCUCCAAUGUAGGAGAAAAAAUAAAGGAAGUGGGGCCGGGAAGAGAGCUUGGCAUGGAUGGGUCUCGCCGCCGUUGAUUGCCGACCUGAUUUUAAAGUCAGACAUGGGAUCCGCUCCCCGCCUCGGGUGCUUUCUGCUGCGUAGCUACUCGUCCUUGAUUCGAAGACCUAUUAUUUCAAGUCAUACAAUCGCGGGUGGGACAAGUCCCCGCGGGUCCUUUAACAUGGGGCUCCCCGUGUCGGUGCCGAGAGUUUGACGGUCAGUGGAAGGCAGUGAGCUGGUCCCGGUGAGGGAUGGGCAGGUGCCUGACCCCCGCCCCCAACACACACACAUGCACGCACGUGCACACAAUACAAUUUUUAUUCGGGUGGUACCGCCUUGCCUUUCUGAGGGUGCCACCUACGUCCAUGUUUACUUCUUUUUUUAAAAAAUAUUUAAUUAUUUAUUUGAGAGAGAGAGCAGGUAGAGGA
Molecule: non-coding RNA, 2190 nt
Organism: Leptonychotes weddellii (Weddell seal)
Lineage: Eukaryota; Metazoa; Chordata; Mammalia; Carnivora; Phocidae
Source: RefSeq, a predicted model, not a curated record